CGCAUCUGUGCAUGCAGCAUAUCAAUAAGCGGAGGAAAAGAAACUAACAAGGAUUCCCCUAGUAACGGCGAGUGAAGCGGGAAGAGCUCAAAUUUGAAAUCUUAAAGGGUUUCCCUUUACGAAUUGUAGUUUAAAGAAGUGUCUUCUGUUGAGGUUUUGGUAAAAGUUCUUUGGAAUAGGACAUCAUAGAGGGUGAGAAUCCCGUAUUCGACCUUUACUUUCAACUUUGUGAUACACUUUCAAAGAGUCGGAUUGUUUGGGAAUGCAGUCCAAAAUGGGUGGUAAAUUUCAUCUAAAGCUAAAUAUUGGCGAGAGACCGAUAGCGAACAAGUACCGUGAGGGAAAGAUGAAAAGAACUUUGAAAAGAGAGUUAAACAGUACGUGAAAUUGUCAAAAGGGAAGCGUUUGACACCAGUGUUGUUUUUCUGGAAAUCAAUUAAAGAACUGUUUAUGCUAAGCUGUUUAGACUUUAUCAGCUAACUGUUUAGUUUUGAGCUUUUCUUUAAUGCACUUUUCAGUUAACAAGUCAACAUCAAUUUCUUUUGCUGUAAAAAAGCUUGAGGAAGGUGGCUUGAGAUUCGUCUUAAGUGUUUAUAGCCUCUUGCCUAUGCAGUCGGAGAGAUUGAGGUCUGCAGCGUAGAUCCUUCGGGGCUAAAUGCAUUUGUGCUAAGUUAUAGCAUUUCAUAGACAACUUGUUGACUAUGAUUUGUCUUGUAGCUUACUCGCUUAUGUUAUUUUACCUACGCUUAGGAUGUUGACAGCAGUAUAGACUGU
RNAcentral lists this ribosomal RNA (774 nucleotides) under uncultured Neocallimastigales. RNAcentral's name for it is "partial large subunit ribosomal RNA". It matches the Rfam family "Eukaryotic large subunit ribosomal RNA", at positions 26 to 637 of the family's 3401-position model. Lineage: Eukaryota; Fungi; Neocallimastigomycota; Neocallimastigomycetes; Neocallimastigales. The record is from RNAcentral.